RNAcentral lists this ribosomal RNA (497 nucleotides) under uncultured bacterium. RNAcentral describes it as "partial 16S ribosomal RNA". It matches the Rfam family "Bacterial small subunit ribosomal RNA", at positions 28 to 507 of the family's 1533-position model. The record is from RNAcentral.
GACGAACGCUGGCGGCGUGCCUAAUACAUGCAAGUAGAACGCUGAAGAGAGGAGCUUGCUCUUCUUGGAUGUGUUGCGAACGGGUGAGUAACGCGUAGGUAACCUGCCUUGUAGCGGGGGAUAACUAUUGGAAACGAUAGCUAAUACCGCAUAACAAUGGAUGACACAUGUCAUUUAUUUGAAAGGGGCAAUUGCUCCACUACAAGAUGGACCUGCGUUGUAUUAGCUAGUAGGUGAGGUAAUGGCUCACCUAGGCGACGAUACAUAGCCGACCUGAGAGGGUGAUCGGCCACACUGGGACUGAGACACGGCCCAGACUCCUACGGGAGGCAGCAGUAGGGAAUCUUCGGCAAUGGGGGCAACCCUGACCGAGCAACGCCGCGUGAGUGAAGAAGGUUUUCGGAUCGUAAAGCUCUGUUGUAAGUCAAGAACGGGUGUGAGAGUGGAAAGUUCACACUGUGACGGUAGCUUACCAGAAAGGGACGGCUAACUACGUG